Molecule: Piwi-interacting RNA, 6569 nt
Filed under: Cordylochernes scorpioides
Lineage: Eukaryota; Metazoa; Arthropoda; Arachnida; Pseudoscorpiones; Chernetidae
Rfam family: mir-8/mir-141/mir-200 microRNA precursor family (bases 4536-4604)
Source: RNAcentral
AAAUAGAGUAGAUUAUCACAAAUGAACAGCUAAUCAGCUACGUGAACAAUGAACAUGCCCUAAAGGUAAUGUACGACCGUAAUUUCCUAUCAAUGAAUAUUGCCAAAAUUACUCCAUUGUUGGCGUGUAAAACUUUCAUUUGUACUCAAUUUAUGACUUUGUGAAACUUCAAUUAUACAGAGCUUGCCUCUAUAAAAAUCGUUGAAAUACACUCAUGGACAAAACUUAAGGAAAUGUAGUCUUUGAUAUCGUCGGUCGUCUAUAUAUAUAUAUUUUUUGAAGGUGACAUAGGUAAUUUUAUUCACACUUGGUUAUCUCGUGUGUCUUCAAUAAAGGUCACUGUGAUAUCUUUCAGAGUUAUUGUCUGAAUCCUUAUAUACAUGCUGAAACUUCCUUAAGUUUGGUCUAUGAGUAUAACAUUAAUGGUAUAUAGAAGUAAUUACUCAUUUGAUGGAAUACAGAAUUCAGUUACUUCUGUAUCUUAUUUUCUGUUUCAUUUUCUCGUUUUCGGAUUUUGGAUGGAAAAUCUGAAGUUCAAAGACUUUUGUGUGAAGAAUAUAGAGGGUCUCCGUACAAGUUACAUAGGAAGGAUACCCUAAUUUACAUAUACUGAUAACAACUAGCAUUGAAGUACACCAAACUUACCUGUAUCCAUUUUUCUUAGAUAUUGAAUAGCGGUCAUCUUGAUCUGUACGUUCUCUUUGGUGUAGCUCCCUCCAUCUGCUUGUGGAUCAUUAGGAUGCUACUUGUAUGGUCCAUAGGAAGUCUGGAAACACCGAAAAUAUUCGUUUAUUUUAUACUUAUCCCAAGUACAUAUAGCCAUUAUAAUCAGUGUGAGUAGAGAACUGUAAGAACAGAUAUAUGUAGGAAGAAAGCAGUUGGCACUUAUAAAAUGCCAAGAAACCGUUUGGUUGCUUGCACUCACCGGUCGAAGAUUAAACUUAUGCCUCAGUCGAGGACCAUUGAAGCAUUCUCUUGAAAAGAAAAGAAAAAAAAAAGAGUGUCAGAUGCUGGAUUCGAACUCAGGUUGUUGUCGACAGUGUGUACCAGCAGAAUACUCCAUCAAAUUCCCCAAUACAGGUUAAAUAACCAAAUACAAUAGGUCUGGCAUAUACUCAUGGACAAAACUUAGGAAGUUGUACCUUUUACCAUGUAUAACGGUAUUCAGACAAUAACUCUGAAAGAUAUUACAGUGAAAUUUAUUGAAGAUACAUGAGAUAACCAACUGUGAGCUUUUUGCCUCUGUCUCCUUCAAAAAAAAAAAAAAAAGGUCACUAGCGACAUCAAAGAAGUUACACUUCCUUCAGGUUUUGUCCAUGAGAGUAGAUUAAACUGGCGAAGACACUGGGAAGGUUUACAAUUGAUGAGCCAGACCCUCAUAAAAUUUUUAAUUUUAAUUGAAUAUAGAGGAACCCCUCUAGAAUUCCAACCACUCAGGUUGAUCUGUUUUUGCAUGGUUUUCCCACUAUGUACUAAGUGUUAAACUGCAACCUCAAACAACAUCAUUGACUGUAAUGACUCAUCCAUUGAUAAGCUCUACCAAUCCCCAAUACAGACACUAUAAAAAACCUCAAGUUUUACAGGCUUGAUACCCUGAUAUGAUUGUUGAGUGGAGAAAAGAAAGAAGAUGAGAGGAGUCCUACAGUAUUGGGAUAAACGGCGCCUCACUGCGUCACCAGAAUAUUUGGGUCAACCGCCAAAAAUAAAAAAAAAUGGAUGACCAGAGACAUAAUGACUUUUGUCAAGCCAUUUCCUGAUAAUUGAAACGUCCUUCGUUUUAUAAGAGCUAACGUUUCCAGUUCGCAGCUUCCAAUCUCCACAAGAUUUCAACAUGUACACGACCAGUAUAAUUGGGUUACACCACUAGUCGACCAUAUGUCCUGUCUUCUAUAAACGGAUGUUUCGGAGAACUGAGAGUCAACUACCCCGUUAGCGGUCACUGUUUCGGUCCUACUCAUGGUCCAACUCAGAUGAGUAUAAAAUCUUGUGAAUUUGAAUAUCUGGGGAUAGAUAUGAGGGGUAUCCCCACGCCAGUUGUUCCCAGGGUGGUCCUCAGACCUCUUUUUUUCAACCAGUGAUGAGCCAAGCCCUACCACUAUUUUACCAUCGCAGUAAGGACAAAUAUAAAAAGUUGUUUUAUUUAAAAAAAAAGAGACCAUUCACGCUAAUUAGUUCCCUUCUUGAAUAUCAAGAUGGCACGAUACUCGGAGAUGUAAAUUUGAAAGAUUCGGACCAAUGUUAUGGAAAGGGAAAUGUACAGAAUGGAGGCACACAUUGCUCCAGGUUACGUAAGGAUGUCAUUCGAGAGGAAGGACACUUGACACCAGGCCGUGUCAAGUCAGGGCUACGCAUGCAAGGCCGUUCGCUUGAAUGGGGCAUUCUAAAUUUCGCACAUGUGCUUGUCGUGGACACGCGUCAUAGGUGCGCAGAGACGUGGGUGGCCAACUUGUUUGACAAGGCCGGCUGCGCUAUACAUAUAUGGCUCGUUGAUUUGCAUAGUAAUUUCGUUGACAGUCGGGGAAUAUAUUUGCAUAGAGUAUUUAGACAAUUUGACAAUAUAAACAAUUAUAUUGAUUCUUUCAAUCAAAUUUUACAAUGUUGGAUAAAUAAAAUAGUAAAAUGGCAUAUAAAGUGUAGGGGAAUAUAUAUACAAAUAUCUUCAGCAAGGAAGGUCUCCCCACCUUGAGUAUGAGUAUUUAGAUAGAUAAAAUUCCUUUUUACACAAAUUAAUCAUAGCCACCGAAGUUCUCACAUAGUGAGAUCCAAAUUUCCCAAAUACCUUAAUUUUAUAACAUAACGCACGCACUUAUCCAAUAUUUUUACUUCUCGUUGUCCGCAAAACACAAUAACAAUUUUCACAUUCCAUUGCCCAAAUCACAGUACCUACAUUUUUUAGAUAUAUUUGUUCAAAUUACACUAACGAAAUGUUCACAUAACGUUUCACAAGUCCCAAUAUCCAAAAUUUCAACAUUCACUUGUCGAAAUACCAACUUUUUUUAGCAUAACGACACUCAAAUUUCCCAAAUCACUCUACCAGAAUAUUUCACAUUGGGAUGUCCCUAUUUACACACAUGCCAAGACUACAGCCACUCCAACACCUACACAUGACCCACAUAGGUCCUCCCACGGUUCACACUCCCGCUCACAUCAAAGCUGUCACUAUUUCCUCACCUUCUACAAGCUGCAGCUUUUACCUGACUCUCACAGUAACGGGUCAACAUUCCGCCACGCCGCAGCGAUGAAGAAGGAUUGGAGAGACACAGACCAUAGAGAUAGGCACCAGGGGACAGUAGAAGGCAGGUAGAAACGGAAUCACAGUUGGAGAGGGCACUCCGCCUUUGCUGGUCCCAAGCCCGGAUGAAAAAGGAAGAGGGGGGGGAGCAAUAACAAGCUCACUAGAAAACAUGGGCUCAGCUGGUCGGCUAAUAGUACCCUGUAAGGGCUCCAGGGAUACAGGAUGUACUCCAUGUUAGGAGCGGAUGCACAUGGCGUCUGUUCCUCAUGUCAGAGGUUGCCAUUUCAUAUUGGAGCUAAGUCGGCCUGCUACUGAGUAGUGCUUCCAGUCGUUAUGACAAAGACAAACGCAUUCUACUUCACCCAAUGUCAAGCUCUACAAGCUUGAUACCCUAAUGUGAUUGAGUGGAGAUAAGAACGAAGAGAAGAAGAAAGCGCCAGUAUAGACUCCGAGGAAGUCUGAUAUUAUCCAAAAAGGUCGGUGUCAGAGUUCACUCCACAUACCCGAAUUAGUUAGGAGGAGGCUCACAUCCCUCCACUAAAUAUAAGAAAACGUGGCCCCAACUUGGAGCACAAGGCAAGCAGCAGCCUCAAGUCGGCGUAAAUCUGCCACCCAAGGCCACCCACGUAUGGAAAUGGGCACGCUCACUUCCUGGCCACGCCUACGGUGGCCCACGCGAGUAUUGGCCUCUUGUCCGGCCUUUUUUACUCUCUUUUAUUUCUUCUUCCCUACCGUAAUAUAACUUAAUCACGACAACAUAGACGAUUUUUCUGGAAUAUAUUCCAGUUUUCCUAUAGAUUAGUGUGUCUAUUGGAGAUUGAUCAAGUUGGGCCAUACCAUUCACAAGAGUCUGUCAUUCAUACAGAUGCUGUAAUAUAUAAGAUUUAAGGUUUAAAAAUAUUGUGAAAAGUAUUGAAAUUGCAACGAAUUUUUCACAAUGAUUAUAUAUACACUCAUGGACAAAACUUAAGGAAGUUGUACCUUUUAGCAUGUAUAUCAGGAUUCAGAUAAUAACUCUGAAAGAUAUUACAGUGACCUUUAUUGAAGACACACGAGAUAACCAAGUGUGAACAAAAUUGCCUCUGUCUUCUUUAAAAAAAAAAAAAAAAAAACACAUGACCGGCGAUAUUAAAGACUUUCCACUUCCUUAAGUUUUGUCCAUGAGUGUAAUACAUAUUUACAUAUAUUCAUAUAUAUAUUAUAAUCUAUAUCAUAAACCUUAUAUGUGAGAGCCUAGAGAAAGAGUAUCCAGGCAGAAGAAGAAGAAAGAAGAAAGAGAGGAUGAAGAAUGUAAAGAUUUGGAGUCAUCUUACCAGACAGCAUUAGAGUGUUAACUACUCCUUUAAUACUGUCAGGUAAAGAUGUGCCCAAAUCCUAUUGACUACACAGCCGGGGAAGUCUACAAGGUAAGUACACAAUUUCUGAAUAACUCCCUCUCUCUCUGUUCGCUUCCUGCGAUCUGAAGGUCUGGCAGACUCUUCGGCCUACAUCCUGAGAUAAUCACAAGUGUGGAGACCAUCUACACGUACCAAAACCAGGGUAUACAGGUUAGCUUUUUGUGUGAAGUUACCAAAACUGGUUUUGUUACUCAUUCUUUAUCAUCACUGGUGAAAUUUUAACUAGAGUGAUGUACAGUGCCAUCGUUUUAAUUAACAAUUAAAGGGAGAGGUGCCUCUUUUGGUAUAUAUAUAUAUGUAGUGAUACAUAUACCAUCUUUGUCUUUAACUGGGGAAUACCAACCAUCACAUCGACCUGCCCACUCUGUUGGAAACAACUCUCGCAGUCCAUCGAUGGCAGAGUCUUUCCAGCUGUGGACGCCACCAAUGAAGACUGUAUGUAAAUAUAAAUAUUCAUUACCAUGAGAGGUACCUCUCCCUUUAUUUAUGCACAGAACGAUACAUUAUGUUCAUCUAUACUAGUUAAAAAAUGUACUAGUGGUAAUGAAGAAUGAGCCGCAUAACACCAGUUUUGGCAAAUUCAGACAAAAACCAACCUGUAUACCUUGGUUUCGGGCUGUAAUCCUCAUCAGUACAGGGGCGACUGGAUUUUCCGAAACUGGUGUUGGGGCUAAUUCUUCAUUACCCCAACAGUAAAGUUGUUUUACUAGAGUGAUAAAUAUAUCGUGUUCUGAUGUACCUCGCUUACCUCGCUUUGCGUCGGGGUUACGUUCCAAAAAAAAAAAAAAACACGACGCAAAUUGAAACGACGCAUAGUGAAAAUAAAAUUUUGAUGGCAUGGCGCAAUCAAAAACAAAGGUGUUACCAUAUUUUAGGGAAAAAAAAUCUAAAAAAAUUAAAGACUCGAAUCCAAAAACAACGCAACUUCGAAAAUCUAACGACGCACAGUGAAAAUCAGUAAAAAUUAAGCAGCGACGCAACUUCGAAAAAAACGCAAAACGAAACGACGCAAAGCAAGGUAUUGGUGUAUAUAUAAAGGGACUCUCAUGGUAAUGAAUCCUCCCACAACUUUAAGUUAUAUAUAUUGUAGCUAAGCAUUUAUUUUACACUAGUAUUAACAGAGUAUCGUUUUUUAUGUUUAUAUUUUGCUACUCUGUAAACUUCCCUCAUUGCUUAUCUUUUGUUUUAUCCUUCAUAGUUUGUUCUUACUUUUUGAAAUUUAUAUGUUGAGUUUGUAAUUAUUCUUGUUUUUUUUAAUUCAUAGAAGCAUUUUUCUGGCAGACAUAUUCAAUUUUUUUUAUCAUCAUCAUUUUAAAUUAUUGUUUUUUUCCUCUUUGUUAGUUAUCAAAUCAUUUGCAAUUGUAGUUUCUUUUUGUUGUGUUCCUUUUUAAGCAAUAAAAUAUAUAUAGAACUAAGGUGUAAUAUUCAAUUCAAGCAUAUGCAACCAACAUCGAUUCAUUUUUUAAAACAAAGCAAAAUUAUAAGCUUAUACAACUUUCACUUUUUCAUACACUUACCUGAAAUAAAUUGCUGUGUCAUCCCGAAGUUUGUCUUCCCUAAUUUUCCACGUGGCAAUAUAAAUAUAUUUAUCAAUUGCUUUAUAUAUAUCCACACAACACAUAUGUGAAAAAAAUCAUAUAAUCUUGUUUAUAGUUGGGAGUUUUUAGGAGGAAGGGGAUUUGUUUUAUAAAAAUAAAGGUUGCCUCUCCCUUCAAAAUAGACCCUAAAACCACUUCUCAGUUUACCAAAGCUGGUGUUGUGGCUUUGUCAUCGACCUGAGUCUGCUAGUUUGUAGAGACAAUCAAUAGAUGGUAGCUAGUUCUAGCGUCUAUUUUGACGGGAGAGGCAGCCUUUUAAUAAAAUCUUGUUUAUAUCUUGAAUUUAACAUUAUAUAACCUUAUAGACAAUAUAAAUGAUAACUACAAUCUAACUAUGUA